Molecule: long non-coding RNA, 272 nt
Filed under: Solanum tuberosum (potato)
Lineage: Eukaryota; Viridiplantae; Streptophyta; Magnoliopsida; Solanales; Solanaceae
Description: long non-coding RNA (STUB_LNC001067)
Source: RNAcentral
ACUUUCCGGCCAGUCACCACCAAACCCCACUGGCCAUCCCUCUCUUCUCACUAACCACCUCUAUUCUCCUCACUACUACGAGAGAAUCACUGUCCAAAACCCCAUUUUUCGAGCUCCACCAGUUCACUGCCGGAGAACCACCAAACCACAACACCCAGCCAACCAGAAGCACCAUUUCUGGCAGAGCUCGAGGCUCAGGCGGAGCAAAUAACAAGGAAAUCGAACCAUUCCCCUCCCCUUUCCCUUUUACGAUAUUUAUUGUUGUUUNNNNN